UCCAAGGAAUGAAAGCAGGCGCCUCCAGA
Molecule: non-coding RNA, 29 nt
Filed under: Homo sapiens (human)
Lineage: Eukaryota; Metazoa; Chordata; Mammalia; Primates; Hominidae
Source: RNAcentral